This 274-nucleotide ribosomal RNA is filed under the name uncultured bacterium. RNAcentral's name for it is "partial 16S ribosomal RNA". It matches the Rfam family "Bacterial small subunit ribosomal RNA", at positions 523 to 796 of the family's 1533-position model. The record is from RNAcentral.
AUACGGAGGGUGCGAGCGUUAAUCGGAAUUACUGGGCGUAAAGCGCGCGUAGGCGGUUAGAUAAGUCUGAUGUGAAAGCCCUGGGCUCAACCUGGGAAUGGCAUUGGAUACUGUUUAACUAGAGUGCAGGAGAGGAGAGUGGAAUUCUCGGUGUAGCGGUGAAAUGCGUAGGUAUCGGGAGGAACACCAGUGGCGAAGGCGGCUCUCUGGACUGACACUGACGCUGAGGUGCGAAAGCGCGGGUAGCAAACAGGAUUAGAUACCCCGGUAGUCC